GGCUACCCGCUUCCGGUGAGGACACUUGACAGCCAGUUCCCCCGAGGCCGUCGCAGAGGCAGAAUCUGGAGUGACUAGAAACGACUUCUCUUUCCCGCGGCCGCCGGGGCCAUACCUGAAGCUGGCUACGGGAGCCCUGAGCCCCAGGCUAAGCGAUGUGAGCAACGCUGAGGGAGCAGGAAGGGGCGUGGCUUCCGCCUCAUAGAGGGGUCCCGCCCCGGUGACGUCACUUCCGUAAACAAAGGGCGCUGUGGAGGCGCCGGUCCCAGGCUGCUGACCCGGGUGGGCGACCCCGGACUCUUGCUGCAGCUGUAGCAGAGGGUUUGGACGCUCUCUGACCCUUUUCAGUUAAGGAGGGGGAUCGCAGCCUCUUCCUCCGGUCAUAUGAAGCUGGUGUUGAUGCGUCGAAGAACUUAAAACAAUGGAAGAGCGGAAAGUGAAGAGGAAGAGCCCCAAGUCUUUCAGUGCCCACUCUACUCAGGUUGUUAAUGCCAAAAAAAAUGCCAUCCCAGCGAGUAAAAGCACAGGCUUUUCAAAUCCCACAGCACAGUCAACUUCCCAGCGGCCAAAGUUAAAGAGAGUGAUGAAAGAGAAGAACAGACCUCAAGCAGGAGAAGGGAAGGGGGCUCAGUCCACCCCCAUCCAGCACUCCUUCCUCACGGACGUCUCCGAUGUCCAGGAGAUGGAGCGCGGGCUCCUCAGUCUGCUGAAUGAUUUCCACUCUGGAAAGCUGCAGGCGUUCGGAAAUGAAUGUUCCAUAGAACAGAUGGAACAUGUCCGGGGAAUGCAGGAGAAAUUAGCUCGCUUGAACUUGGAGCUGUACGGGGAGUUAGAGGAGCUUCCCGAGGAUAAGCGGAAAGCGGCCAGCGAUGCCAACCUGGACAGACUUCUGUCUGACGGGGCUGAGAAGCUGACUCAGCGACUAAAAGUACUUGCUGCUCUUGCAGAGGACCCAGAGUCUGUCGCCAGCACCCACAUGGCGGCCCUCGACCGUCUGUAGCUCCAGUUCCGGAGAUCUGAAGCCCUCUUCUGGCCUCUGAGGGCACACCUCUGUGGUGCACAUGCUUACAUGUGGGCAAAACACUCAUACCCGUAAAAUAAAAAUAAAUAAAUCUUUCCAGCCUUCUUUAGGGAGCUAGGGAGAGAGCUCAGUCAGCCAAGUCCUUGCUGCUCCAGCGUGAGGGCCUGAGUUCAGACCCUCAGUACCUGCAACCCCAGCCCUGGAGAGGUGGGGAUGCAAAGAUCUCUGGGCUUACUGGCCACCCAUUCUUGCUGCAUUUGUGAGCUCCAGGUUUGCUGAGAGAUCCUGUCUCAGAAAACUAAGGUGGAGAACAAUUGAGGAAGACACGAAACGUUGACCUCUGGCUUCCCCAUGUGCAGAUGCACACACUUGCACGUGUGUACACACCAAACCUUUGUAGAACAAAGGGAAAUAAAUAAAAACUGACUUCAGCGUAUUUUAGCUUCGUUGUUCAUAGCUUGUCAUUGUUCACCAGUGACAAGAGUUUGUUUCUGCUGCUUUUCUUCACUCUUUUUUUUUUUUUUUUUUUAAUAAGUGUGAGGCAACUGUCGAGACAGGGUUUCCUGGUGUAGUUCAGGCUUUCUUAGAACUCAUUCUGUAGACCAGGCUGGCCUCAAACUCAGCCAACCUCCUCUGCCUCCUGAGUGCUGGGAUUAAAGGCCUGCGCCACCUCCUCCUGGUGUCUGCCCAUGCUCUCCAAGCUUUAAGCCUAGAAGAUUAGCAGUGCAUGCUUGUAAUCCGAGCACUUGGGAAUUGGAUGAAGGAGGAACAGGAGUUCAAGGUUAGCCUCACGUACAUGAGACCUCUCGCAGAAACAACAAAAAUCCCUUCAAGCCUGUUCUUUUAAAUGUCAAGUCUGCCAUAUAACAUUCAGUGUCACAAGUUCAUGCUUUGUGCUUUAUUUCUAUUAAAUAGAAGCUUAAUUUCUGCACUUUUGGUGCAUUUAGGAAAAUGCUGUAUCUUGGCAAAAAGAACACUGAAUUUGAAACCAGGAGGCAUAGUGCAAGGCUCACAUCAGUGUUCUUCUUGGUAACGGUGAACCUAGUUACCAAGUCUAGUUAACCUACCUACUUACCUUCUUUUCUUUUUGAAAAUGUUUUUUUUUUUUUGUUUGUUUCUUUUUUCGAGACAGGGUUUCUCUGUGUAGCUUUGGAGCCUGUCCUGGAUCUCACUUCGUAGACCAGGCUGGCCUCGAACUCACAGAGAUCCGCCUGGCUCUGCCUCCCGAGUGCUGGGAUUAAAGGCGUGCGCCACCACCGCCCGGCUCUGAAACUGUUUUGAGUUACUGGAGAUUAAGCCCCGAGGGCCUCAGGAAUGCAAGACAAGCACUCCACCACUAAGCUACAGAUUCAGACAGCAUUUCUAUACUUUAUAUUUCCCCUUCUAAAGUUAAAGAUAGUGUGGUCUGAAUGUCUGUAUCCUUCUAGAACUCAUACUUUCAUGUUCUUCCCCUGAAGGUGGUACACCAAGAGACAGGUCUUUGGAAGGUAAUUAGGUCAAGAGUGAGAUUUAGUAUCCUGGGAAAAGAGGCUGGAAAGAGACACCCCACUGCUUCUGUUUUGUGAGGACAUAGUACAAGAUACUGUUGUUCUGUUAGCCAGACACAGGUUCUGUUGACUUCUUAAUCUUGGAUGGCUGGUCUCGAGAGCCUUCAGAAAUGGGUUUCUUUUUUUCUACAAACCACUAAUUUAAUGAUAUUUUGUUAGAGACUCUUUCAAAAAGAAAUAACAAACAGUAGAGAUUACUGCCAUUUUAGGUGAUUCUAAGAAUACUUGCAAAGCUCUAGUCUUCAGCAUUUGCUUCUACUCUCUCUUAGGGUCUUCCAUUCAGGCUGCAGCUACUUCAUAGUUAUUUUAUAAAAAGGAAUUUCCCAACCUAGAAAAUUAAAAAAACAACUUUUUUUUCGAUAAUUUGUUCAUUCAGUUAAAGAAAACCUACAUGAAGCUAUUUUAAAACAUGGUUUACAGUGACCUACAAAUAUUUAUCUUGUCAAAAUUAAUAUUCAAUUUGUUUCUUUGUGUUGCAGUUAGAAGAAUUGAAUUCUUCUAUACAGAAGCUGCAUUUGGCAGACGCGCAGGAUGUUCCCAAUCCGUCCACCAGCUAACGCGGCGUGCAGCCUGCUCUGGGGGAUUCGCAGAGGAGCAGCAGCCAUUGCUUUCCCAGCCGAGCCCAGUAGCAGAAUCAUCUUCCACAACAACAUUCACGUGCUGAGAGCCAAGUGCAGUGAUUGUGUUCACACGCCCGCCCGCCCGCCGCUUCUAGUCCAUGUGCUUGCUGUAAUCCACCGCUGGGGAGGGCGUGGCCUGGCUGCAGGUCGAUCCGGAAGUGGGAUGCAGUGGGGUGCGGAGUUGUGCUGCUGAGUUUUCUUCUGUUGCCUUAAGGUUAUACUUGAAAUGCUCUGUGCUAAACAUUCGGUGGGGCUGAAGGGUGUGUCCUGCGAUCACCACACCGAGCGAGUUCUGGUCACCCGGUGGUGGUGCACAGGCCUCCUGUGGCAGCCCAGCUUCAGUUUACGUCAGACAAUCAGUACACACGCAGGUGUGUUUCCCAAUGGCCAGUGACAAAUGUUUAAUAAGUAUUUGUGAGAUUCGCUAUUUUUAAUAAAGUGAUUGUUUUAAAUGAUG
Peromyscus californicus insignis is the source of this 3645-nucleotide RNA transcript. It is a transcript of the gene named coiled-coil domain containing 28A, with no coding region annotated. The record is from RefSeq and is a predicted model, not a curated record. The transcript has 6 exons. NCBI's taxonomy places the organism in Eukaryota, Metazoa, Chordata, Mammalia, Rodentia, Cricetidae.